This 492-nucleotide ribosomal RNA is filed under the name uncultured bacterium. RNAcentral's name for it is "partial 16S ribosomal RNA". It matches the Rfam family "Bacterial small subunit ribosomal RNA", at positions 30 to 507 of the family's 1533-position model. The record is from RNAcentral.
AGUGAACGCUGGCGGUAGGCCUAACACAUGCAAGUCGAACGGCAGCACAGUAAGAGCUUGCUCUUACGGGUGGCGAGUGGCGGACGGGUGAGGAAUACAUCGGAAUCUACUUUUUCGUGGGGGAUAACGUAGGGAAACUUACGCUACUACCGCAUACGACCUACGGGUGAAAGCAGGGGAUCUUCGGACCUUGCGCGAUUGAAUGAGCCGAUGUCGGAUUAGCUAGUUGGCGGGGUAAAGGCCCACCAAGGCGACGAUCCGUAGCGGGUCUGAGAGGAUGAGCAGCCACACUGGAACUGAGACACGGUCCAGACUCCGACGGGAGGGAGCAGUGGGGAAUGGUGGACAAGGGGCGGGAGCCUGAUCCAGCCGUACCGCGUGGGUGAAGAAGGCCUUCGGGUUGGGGAGGCCUUUUGUUGGGAAAGAGGAGCAGCAGGUUAAUACCGCGCGGUUCUGACGGUACCCAAAGAAUAAGCACCGGCUAACUUCGUG